GUCUGGCUGGUUCAGUUGGUGGUGCAUGCGACUCUUGAUCUCAAGGGCAUGAGUUCAAGCCCCAUGUCAGGCA
This 73-nucleotide transfer RNA is filed under the name Nyctereutes procyonoides (raccoon dog). It matches the Rfam family "tRNA". Rfam says of the family: Transfer RNA (tRNA) molecules are approximately 80 nucleotides in length. Their secondary structure includes four short double-helical elements and three loops (D, anti-codon, and T loops). Further hydrogen bonds mediate the characteristic L-shaped molecular structure. tRNAs have two regions of fundamental functional importance: the anti-codon, which is responsible for specific mRNA codon recognition, and the 3' end, to which the tRNAs corresponding amino acid is attached (by aminoacyl-tRNA synthetases). tRNAs cope with the degeneracy of the genetic code in two manners: having more than one tRNA (with a specific anti-codon) for a particular amino acid; and 'wobble' base-pairing, i.e. permitting non-standard base-pairing at the 3rd anti-codon position. Lineage: Eukaryota; Metazoa; Chordata; Mammalia; Carnivora; Canidae. The record is from Rfam by way of RNAcentral.